This 334-nucleotide unclassified non-coding RNA is filed under the name soil metagenome. RNAcentral's name for it is "partial contains 5.8S ribosomal RNA, internal transcribed spacer 2, and large subunit ribosomal RNA". The stretch from base 1 to 120 matches the Rfam family "5.8S ribosomal RNA", at positions 35 to 154 of the family's 154-position model. The record is from RNAcentral.
GAUGAAGAACGUAGCGAAAUGCGAUAAGUAGUGUGAAUUGCAGAAUUCAGUGAAUCAUCGAAUCUUUGAACGCACAUUGCGCCCUUUGGUAUUCCUUAGGGCAUGCCUGUUCGAGCGUCAUUUAAACCUUCAAGCUCAGCUUGGUGUUGGGUGACUGUCCGCUUCACCGCGGACUCGCCUCAAAAUUAUUGGCGGCCGGUACAUUGGCUCUCGAGCGCAGCAGAAACGCGUAACUCGAGGUCCUCGUGCUGGCUCCCAGAAGCUAUCUUCACAAUUUUGACCUCGGAUCAGGUAGGGAUACCCGCUGAACUUAAGCUUAUCAAUAAGCGGAGGA